GAUGAACGCUGGCGGCGUGCCUAAUACAUGCAAGUCGAGCGAACAGACGAGGAGCUUGCUCCUCUGACGUUAGCGGCGGACGGGUGAGUAACACGUGGAUAACCUACCUAUAAGACUGGGAUAACUUCGGGAAACCGGAGCUAAUACCGGAUAAUAUAUUGAACCGCAUGGUUCAAUAGUGAAAGACGGUUUUGCUGUCACUUAUAGAUGGAUCCGCGCCGCAUUAGCUAGUUGGUAAGGUAACGGCUUACCAAGGCGACGAUGCGUAGCCGACCUGAGAGGGUGAUCGGCCACUCUGGAACUGAGACACGGUCCAGACUCCUACGGGAGGCAGCAGUAGGGAAUCUUCCGCAAUGGGCGAAAGCCUGACGGAGCAACGCCGCGUGAGUGAUGAAGGUCUUCGGAUCGUAAAACUCUGUUAUUAGGGAAGAACAAAUGUGUAAGUAACUAUGCACGUCUUGACGGUACCUAAUCAGAAAGCCACGGCUAACUACGUG
Molecule: ribosomal RNA, 497 nt
Filed under: uncultured bacterium
Lineage: Bacteria
Description: partial 16S ribosomal RNA
Rfam family: Bacterial small subunit ribosomal RNA
Source: RNAcentral